This 475-nucleotide ribosomal RNA is filed under the name uncultured bacterium. RNAcentral's name for it is "bacterial SSU rRNA". It matches the Rfam family "Bacterial small subunit ribosomal RNA", at positions 28 to 507 of the family's 1533-position model. The record is from RNAcentral.
GACGAACGCUGGCGGCGUGCCUAAUACAUGCAAGUCGAGCGGACUUAUUUGAGUAGCUUGCUAUUUAGAUAAGUUAGCGGCGGACGGGUGAGUAACACGUGGGUAAUCUGCCUCGUAGACUGGGAUAACAGGCCGAAAGGUUUGCUAAUACCGGAUGAGUUCGUGUUUCUGCAUAGAGACACGAAGAAAGGGGAAACCCGCUAUGAGAUGAGCCCGCGUCCCAUUAGCUAGUUGGUGGGGUAAAAGCCUACCAAGGCGACGAUGGGUAGCCGGCCUGAGAGGGUGGACGGCCACACUGGGACUGAGACACGGCCCAGACUCCGUACGGGGGCAGCAGUAGGGAAUCUUCGGCAAUGGGCGAAAGCCUGACCGAGCGACGCCGCGUGAGGGACGAAGGCCGUUCGGGUUAGUAAACCUCUGUCUGGGGGGACGAGAACGGACGGUACCCCCGGAGGAAGCCCCGGCUAACUACGUG